This 97-nucleotide microRNA precursor is filed under the name Oryza glumipatula. Its description in RNAcentral is "pre miRNA MIR439". The record is from RNAcentral. Lineage: Eukaryota; Viridiplantae; Streptophyta; Magnoliopsida; Poales; Poaceae.
ACAGGAAGCCUGUCGAACCGACGGUGUUCGACUGGCUCCUGUCGAACUGCCCCUGUUCGACAGGGCGGCAGUCGAACGACCCCUGUUCGACAGGUCC